UAUAAUAUGUACGAUUUUUUAUUUUUGUGUUACCCACAAUUAGGAAUUCUAAACAUUUUUGAAUAUCAUAUCAAAAAUUGACCGCUCCAGCGGGAUUCGAACCCGCGUCUUCGACAUACCGUGUCGACGCUCUAGCCAAUUAAGCUAUGGAACGAUAUACUCGCCAGAGCGAAACUUUUGAUAUGAUGAUUUUUACUUUUCGGUUUAAGCGAACCGUGGCGCCGUCUAUAGUGAGUUCUUUACAGAGACUCGUAACUAUUCAAAGUUUCAUAUUACAAUGAAAAUCUUUGACAGGAGACGACACCAUGCUAUUUUUAAUAUGUACGAUUUUUUAUUUUUGUGUUACCCACAAUUAGGAAUUCUAAACAUUUUUGAAUAUCAUAUCAAAAAUUGACCGCUCCAGCGGGAUUCGAACCCGCGUCUUCGACAUACCGUGUCGACGCUCUAGCCAAUUAAGCUAUGGAACGAUAUACUCGCCAGAGCGAAACUUUUGAUAUGAUGAUUUUUACUUUUCGGUUUAAGCGAACCGUGGCGCCGUCUAUAGUGAGUUCUUUACAGAGACUCGUAACUAUUCAAAGUUUCAUAUUACAAUGAAAAUCUUUGACAGGAGACGACACCAUGCUAUUUUUAAUAUGUACGAUUUUUUAUUUUUGUGUUACCCACAAUUAGGAAUUCUAAACAUUUUUGAAUAUCAUAUCAAAAAUUGACCGCUCCAGCGGGAUUCGAACCCGCGUCUUCGACAUACCGUGUCGACGCUCUAGCCAAUUAAGCUAUGGAACGAUAUACUCGCCAGAGCGAAACUUUUGAUAUGAUGAUUUUUACUUUUCGGUUUAAGCGAACCGUGGCGCCGUCUAUAGUGAGUUCUUUACAGAGACUCGUAACUAUUCAAAGUUUCAUAUUACAAUGAAAAUCUUUGACAGGAGACGACACCAUGCUAUUUUUAAUAUGUACGAUUUUUUAUUUUUGUGUUACCCACAAUUAGGAAUUCUAAACAUUUUUGAAUAUCAUAUCAAAAAUUGAUAUGAUAUUUAAAAAUGUUUAGAAUUCCUAAUUGUGGGUAACACAAAAAUAAAAAAUCGUACAUAUUAAAAAUAGCAUGGUGUCGUCUCCUGUCAAAGAUUUUCAUUGUAAUAUGAAACUUUGAAUAGUUACGAGUCUCUGUAAAGAACUCACUAUAGACGGCGCCACGGUUCGCUUAAACCGAAAAUAAAAAUCAUCAUAUCAAAAGUUUCGCUCUGGCGAGUAUAUCGUUCCAUAGCUUAAUUGGCUAGAGCGUCGACACGGUAUGUCGAAGACGCGGGUUCGAAUCCCGCUGGAGCGGUCAAUUUUUGAUAUGAUAUUCAAAAAUGUUUAUAC
RNAcentral lists this unclassified non-coding RNA (1356 nucleotides) under Melitaea cinxia (Glanville fritillary). Its description in RNAcentral is "misc RNA ENSMCXG00005008193.1". The stretch from base 1249 to 1321 matches the Rfam family "tRNA". The record is from RNAcentral. Lineage: Eukaryota; Metazoa; Arthropoda; Insecta; Lepidoptera; Nymphalidae.